This is a non-coding RNA of Vicia faba (fava bean), 225 nucleotides long. The record is from the annotation of a GenBank genome assembly. NCBI's taxonomy places the organism in Eukaryota, Viridiplantae, Streptophyta, Magnoliopsida, Fabales, Fabaceae.
AUGGACCUUCCAGCUUCACAACAAGCUCCUGCUCCAGCGGGCCCCUUAGGUGGCGCAUCCUCCUCUUCCUCGUGGAGUGGCUCGUGGAUAGAUAAGUGGUUUUUUCCAGAGGAGGGGUCAUCUUCGGACCCAAACCAGGAGGAGCUCCUUGCUACGAAUCAACCAACCGAGGUCAUGGGGCCGGAAGCUCCUAGUCCUUCAUGGUUAAAAGAAAAGAUUCUCUGA